RNA transcript from Lates calcarifer (barramundi perch), 2508 nucleotides. It is a transcript of the gene named myosin phosphatase Rho-interacting protein, with no coding region annotated. The record is from RefSeq and is a predicted model, not a curated record. NCBI's taxonomy places the organism in Eukaryota, Metazoa, Chordata, Actinopteri, Centropomidae. The transcript is spliced from 10 exons.
GUCAGAAGUGGACUCCAUGGUGGUUCUGAAGGACCGGAUCCAGGAGCUGGAGACUCAGAUGAACACCAUGAGGGACGAACUGGAGAACAAGCACCUCGAAGGAGAUGUGGCCAGCCUGAGAGAGAAAUACCAGAGAGACUUUGAAAGUCUUAAGGCCACGUGUGAACGUGGCUUUGCUGCAAUGGAAGAAACACACCAUAAGGUGAUAGAGGACCUCCAGAGGCAGCAUCAGAGGGAGAUUUCCAAGCUUAUGGAAGAGCGAGAGAGACUUUUGGCUGAGGAGACUGCUGCAACAAUUGCUGCUAUUGAAGCUAUGAAAAAUGCACACAAGGAGGAACUGGAGAAGACCCAGCGCUCCCAACUGAGUGGACUGAACUCUGACAUUGAUGAGCUUCGCUUACAAUAUGAGGAGGAGCUGCAGUCCAUCCAGAGGGAACUGGAGGUGUUGUCAGAGCAGUAUUCUCAGAAAUGUCUGGAAAACGCUCACCUGGCCCAGGCACUGGAGGCUGAGAGGCAGGCCCUCAGGCAGUGUCAGAGAGAGAACCAGGAAUUAAACGCUCACAACCAGGAAUUAAAUAAUCGACUGAGUGCAGAGAUCACUCGGAUGCGCUCAUGUUUCAGUGGUGAAACAGCGUUGUCACCACUUACCCAGGGCAAAGAUGUGUAUGAACUGGAGGUGUUGCUGCGAAUUAAGGAAUCUGAGAUCCAGUACCUGAAACAGGAAAUUCACUCUUUGAAAGAUGAACUGCAGUCUGCUUUAAGGGACAAGAAAUAUGCCACAGACAAAUAUAAGGACAUAUAUACAGAGCUCAGCAUUGUGAAGGCAAAGGCUGACUGCGACAUCAGCAAACUGAAGGAGAAACUGCUCAUUGCUACAGAAGCUUUAGGCGAGAGGACUGUCGAUGGGACAGUCACAUCUGGAUAUGAUAUCAUGAAAUCAAAAAGUAAUCCAGAUUUCAUUAAAAAAGAACAAUCAACAUCCUCCAAGCAAUUGAGAGGCGUAAGGUCAAAGUCUGUCACUGAACAGGUCUCAUGGGAUAGCUGACACUCCCAUUGUGGGGUGAUUCCCCCCCAACCCCCGCCCCAAGACGUGCUAGCCUGAAAGAGGGACUAACCGUGCAGGAGCGCAUGAAGCUUUUUGAGGCAAAAGAUUCCAAAAAGAUUUGAACAUCAAGAAUCUGAAGUUUCUCCUCUCUUUCCUGGCCUUGGUUUUUGAUCAUAUUGCUACGGCCGUGCUAGCAUCAGCUGAAGACUCCCAUAGGAAAUGGAAAAAAAAUCUAUAAAGGUCAAUUCUUAACAUUGACCUGCUGCUUCCAUGCCUCUGAUAAGUUGUCAUAUAUUUGUUUGAUUUUUUUAAUUAAUAGUAAAAAGUUUUACUGAAACAAUCCUGUGUUAGAUUUCUUUAAAAACACAUAGAUGUAUAAUCUGUCCAAGUUGGAGAUACGUCAAAUAAGCUGUGAGAGGGAUACAUGACAGCAUUUUUAUUGAUCCUCCAAAAUGCCAAAACAGACAGCAAUACACAUUAUGAAUAAUAUAUAUUUCCCAAUAUGAAUUAAGUAUCUGCUGUAUUUUAUUAUUGUUACAGUUUCUAUAUCUAAUAAUUUUUAAUGUGUUUAAUGUUGCACCGGUUCUGUUGUACAUAACUACUGGAUAUAUGUAAAACUAUGGUUUGCUGUUGAUUGUUGGGGCAUCUGCUGUACUAUAACUAUGGUUUGAUUGAUAGUGGAAAACAAUGUGAUGCUUAACUUGCUUGUGUAUGAGAGUUUUAUAAAAAUGGGAGUGUCUGUGUGUUAAGGGGGAAAAGGGGGGUGGGAUUGCACUUAUCACUUGACUACUUGAGGAAGCUUUUUUUUCUUUUUGUCUCAAAUUGGUGUAGUGACUUCAAGUCAAUUAUUGCAGUGCAACCAAACAUCCUGACUUCUGUCAAACUUAGUGAACAGCCGUGACUUGUUAGUGAUACUGGAUUUUCUUUUUUUUUUUUAAGGCAUUUUCUUAAAACCUGAAUUUGUGUUUGCUCAGUUUUGACUUUGGUGUGAGAGUAUCAUCUCAUAAAAAACUGAAACUAUUUAGGACUUUGCAUGACUGUACAGUAUAAGUUGAAUUGCAGAGAGAUCAUGUUGCCUCAUUUUCCUACUUUAUGCUUUAGUGUGGAACUCUUAACACUAAUAAGCUUUGCUUUGCAAGUCCUACUGUUUAGGUGUUGAGAUUGAAAUGUUUUACUGUAAGCGGCAGUCUUGAAGCACUUGGCCCAAUCCUUGACCUCUCACUGAAAUCUAGUCGUGCCUCAACUGAGUGAAGAAUAUUAAACAUCCAUGAAACCUGUGCAGCUAUGGAUACACACUGUAUAGUAUUCAAACCACGCCUUGUACAUAUGCCACACGGAAGACUUCUGUGUUUUGUUUUAAACUUGUACCUUGCUCACUAGCUCUAUAUGAAAUAUAUAUAUAUGAAUAUUUUUUAUUUUCAUUUGAAUGUAUAACGUCAAAUAAAUGAAGUGUUUGGAAAUCG